GUAAGCAAAGAGUGAGGCCCAGUCCAGAGGCUGAGAGUUUGGGCUUUGGAAUCAAACAGACAAGAGCACAAACCACAGCUCCACAACAUGUGACCUUGGACAAGCACCUUUACCUCUUCUCUACAUGUUGGUUUCCCUCCUUGUAAUAUGGGAUGGAGACUAGUAACUGCCUCCUCUGCUGGUAAAUAAGAUACAAUCCAAAGGCACAGAGCACCUGGCCCAGAGAGAUUGCUUCGUAUCUGCUAUCCAGCAUGGCCAUCUGAUGGGGCCUGGACCUGGCUAAUUGUGGGCCCUGCUCCUCCCUCUGCCUGAGCCCCCAGCAGCUUCUCUGACCCAGCUGGAGGAAGAAGCUCUGAUGGGCAUCUCCUGUCCGUGCACAUCAAGUUAUUUCUAGUUGAUUUGUUAUUGUGGUUGUUGUGGUUGUUAUUUCUACUAAGAACAUUGAGCUAUGAAUAAACUGUGCAUUUUUCUUGAUGAAUGUGGAAAAGAGAUUCUCUAGGGUGUACAUAAUAAUAAUU
This is a long non-coding RNA of Bos taurus (domestic cattle), 518 nucleotides long. The record is from Ensembl. Lineage: Eukaryota; Metazoa; Chordata; Mammalia; Artiodactyla; Bovidae.